This 493-nucleotide ribosomal RNA is filed under the name uncultured bacterium. RNAcentral describes it as "partial 16S ribosomal RNA". It matches the Rfam family "Bacterial small subunit ribosomal RNA", at positions 28 to 507 of the family's 1533-position model. The record is from RNAcentral.
GACGAACGCUGGCGGCGUGCUUAACACAUGCAAGUCGAACGGUGAAGGGACCGGUUUUUGCUGGUUCUGGAUGAGUGGCGAACGGGUGAGUAACACGUGAGUAACCUGCCCCCUUCUUCUGGAUAACCGCAUGAAAGUGUGGCUAAUACGGGAUAUUCUGCGCCUGCUGCAUGGUGGGUGUGGGAAAGAUAUUGUUUCGGUGGGGGAUGGGCUCGCGGCCUAUCAGCUUGUUGGUGGGGUGAUGGCCUACCAAGGCGGUGACGGGUAGCCGGCCUGAGAGGGUGGACGGUCACACUGGGACUGAGACACGGCCCAGACUCCUACGGGAGGCAGCAGUGGGGAAUAUUGCACAAUGGGCGCAAGCCUGAUGCAGCGACGCCGCGUGAGGGAUGGAGGCCUUCGGGUUGUAAACCUCUUUCGCCAGUGAAGCAGGCCUGUCCCUUUUGUGGGUGGGUUGACGGUAGCUCGAUAAGAAGCGCCGGCUAACUACGUG